UACGAAGGGGGCUAGCGUUGUCCGGAGUUACUGGGCGUAAAGCGCGCGCAGGCGGCGCACCGCGCCCGGCGUGAAAGCCCCCGGCUCAACUGGGGAGGGUCACGCGAUACUGAUCGACUCGAAGGCAGGAGAGGGAAGUGGAAUUCCCGGUGUAGUGGUGAAAUGCGUAGAUAUCGGGAGGAACACCAGUGGCGAAGGCGACUUCCUGGCCUGUUCUUGACGCUGAGGCGCGAAAGCUAGGGGAGCAAACGGG
RNAcentral lists this ribosomal RNA (253 nucleotides) under uncultured bacterium. RNAcentral describes it as "partial 16S ribosomal RNA". It matches the Rfam family "Bacterial small subunit ribosomal RNA", at positions 524 to 776 of the family's 1533-position model. The record is from RNAcentral.